Molecule: ribosomal RNA, 330 nt
Filed under: Triticum aestivum (bread wheat)
Lineage: Eukaryota; Viridiplantae; Streptophyta; Magnoliopsida; Poales; Poaceae
Description: partial small subunit ribosomal RNA
Source: RNAcentral
AUGGGUCCUAGAGGUGGCAAACACGAUAAAGGUAAGAGGGUGAAGUGUGAGAAGAGUGUAGUUCAAGACAUGACGCGGUCUCUGCGUGAUAUGUCGGAUACUAUGCGUUUCACACACGUGACCAACCUGAAUGAGAAUUUAUUCAAAAUAAUUGAUGACAUGGAAGAAUACCCUCUCUUCGUCCGACUUGCACUACAGACAUCUUUGGCCACAAAUGAAGAAGUGGCGUCCAUGUUGAAAGGGAGGCCGAUGACUGCUAUUCAAGAGUUUGUGCGGCGUUGGGUCGGCGAUAACUUUCCUGAACACAUUCAUGUUGCUCCUGACGUGUGA